UUAUCAGACUUGUUACAAGGUUGUUCUAAUAAGUCUGAUACAGUCAUGAUAUAACAAGGUUGAUGACAACGUUACAAGGUUGAUGACACAAGGUUGUAACAAUAUUGUUAUGUAAUGACUGUAUCGGACUUGUUGGAACAACCUUGCAACAAGUCUGAUAA
Molecule: non-coding RNA, 161 nt
Organism: Paramuricea clavata
Lineage: Eukaryota; Metazoa; Cnidaria; Anthozoa; Malacalcyonacea; Plexauridae
Source: the annotation of a GenBank genome assembly